Paramuricea clavata is the source of this 72-nucleotide non-coding RNA. NCBI's taxonomy places the organism in Eukaryota, Metazoa, Cnidaria, Anthozoa, Malacalcyonacea, Plexauridae. The record is from the annotation of a GenBank genome assembly.
GACCGCGUAGCUCAGUUGGCAGAGCAUUGGAUUAGCUUCCAAAGGUCGUAGGUUCGAUUCCCACCGUGGUCA